GAUGAACGCUGGCGGUGUGCCUAAUACAUGCAAGUCGAGCGGCAGCACUUCGGGUGGCGAGCGGCGAACGGCUGAGUAACGCGUGGGAACGUGCCCCAAAGUGAGGGAUAACUUCGAGAAAUCGGAGCUAAUACCGCAUAUGAUCUUCGGAUUAAAGAAUUUAUUCGCUUUGGGAGCGGCCUGCGUACGAUUAGAUUGUUGGUGAGGUAAAGGCUCACCAAGUCGACGAUCGUUAGCUGGUCUGAGAGGAUGAACAGCCAGACUGGAACUGAGACACGGUCCAGACUCCUACGGGAGGCAGCAGUAAGGAAUCUUCCACAAUGGGCGAAAGCCUGAUGGAGCAACACCGCGUGCAGGACGAAGGCCUUCGGGUUGUAAACUGCUUUUAUUAGCGAAGAAUAUGACGGUAACUAAUGAAUAAGGGUCGGCUAACUACGUGCCAGCCGCCGCGGUAA
This 455-nucleotide ribosomal RNA is filed under the name uncultured bacterium. RNAcentral describes it as "partial 16S ribosomal RNA". It matches the Rfam family "Bacterial small subunit ribosomal RNA", at positions 28 to 523 of the family's 1533-position model. The record is from RNAcentral.